Molecule: ribosomal RNA, 274 nt
Filed under: uncultured bacterium
Lineage: Bacteria
Description: partial 16S ribosomal RNA
Rfam family: Archaeal small subunit ribosomal RNA
Source: RNAcentral
AAACCAGCUCUCCGAGUGGUAGGGGUGAUUAUUGGGCUUAAAGCGUCCGUAGCCGGCCUGGCAAGUCUUCCGUUAAAUCCAGCAACCUAAUUGUUGGGCUGCGGGGGAUACUGUUAGGCUUGGGGGCGGGAGAGGCCGACGGUAUUCUCGGGGUAGGGGUGAAAUCUUAUAAUCCCGAGAGGACCACCAGUGGCGAAGGCUGUCGGCUAGCACGCGCCUGACGGUGAGGGACGAAAGCUGGGGGAGCGAACCGGAUUAGAGACCCGAGUAGUCC